UACGUAGGGGGCUAGCGUUGUCCGGAUUUAUUGGGCGUAAAGAGCUUGUAGGCGGUCUGUCGCGUCUGCUGUGAAAAUCCGGGGCUCAACCCCGGACUUGCAGUGGGUACGGGCAGACUAGAGUGUGGUAGGGGAGACUGGAAUUCCUGGUGUAGCGGUGAAAUGCGCAGAUAUCAGGAGGAACACCGAUGGCGAAGGCAGGUCUCUGGGCCACUACUGACGCUGAGAAGCGAAAGCAUGGGGAGCUAACAGG
RNAcentral lists this ribosomal RNA (253 nucleotides) under uncultured bacterium. RNAcentral's name for it is "partial 16S ribosomal RNA". It matches the Rfam family "Bacterial small subunit ribosomal RNA", at positions 524 to 776 of the family's 1533-position model. The record is from RNAcentral.